RNAcentral lists this ribosomal RNA (253 nucleotides) under uncultured bacterium. RNAcentral's name for it is "partial 16S ribosomal RNA". It matches the Rfam family "Bacterial small subunit ribosomal RNA", at positions 524 to 776 of the family's 1533-position model. The record is from RNAcentral.
UACGAAGGGUGCAAACGUUGCUCGGAAUCAUUGGGCGUAAAGCGCACGUAGGCGGCCUCAUAAGUCGGAUGUGAAAUCCCACGGCUCAACCGUGGAAGUGCAUCCGAAACUGCGAGGCUCGAGUAUGGAAGAGGGUCGCAGAAUUCCCGGUGUAGAGGUGAAAUUCGUAGAUAUCGGGAGGAAUACCAGUGGCGAAGGCGGCGACCUGGGCCAAUACUGACGCUGAGGUGCGAAAGCGUGGGGAGCAAACAGG